CCUACGGGCGGCAGCAGUAGGGAAUAUUGCUCAAUGGGCGAAACCCUGAAGCAGCAACGCCGCGUGGAGGAUGAAGGUUUUAGGAUUGUAAACUCCUUUUUUUAGAGAAGAUUAUGACGGUAUCUAACGAAUAAGCACUGGCUAACUCCGUGCCAGCAGCCGCGGUAAUAUGGAGGGUGCAAGUGUUAAUCGGAAUCUCUGGGCGUAAAGAGUGCGUAGGCGGGGUAAUAAGUCAGAUGUGAAAUCCUGUAGCUUAAAUACAGAACUGCAUUUGAGACUGUUAGUCUGGAGUGUGGGUGAGGUAGGUGGAAUACUUGGUGUAGGGGUAAAAUCCGUAGAGAUCAAGCAGAAUACUCAUUGCGAAGGCGACCUGCUGGAACAUUACUGACGCUGAUGCACGAAAGCGUGGGGAGCAAACAGGAUUAGAUACCCCUGUAGUC
Molecule: ribosomal RNA, 440 nt
Filed under: uncultured bacterium
Lineage: Bacteria
Description: partial 16S ribosomal RNA
Rfam family: Bacterial small subunit ribosomal RNA
Source: RNAcentral